AUACGGAGGAUGCGAGCGUUAUCCGGAUUUAUUGGGUUUAAAGGGAGCGUAGGUGGGAUAUUAAGUCAGCUGUGAAAGUUUGGGGCUCAACCUUAAAAUUGCAGUUGAUACUGGUUUCCUUGAGUACGGUACAGGAGGGCGGAAUUCGUGGUGUAGCGGUGAAAUGCUUAGAUAUCACGAAGAACUCCGAUCGCGAAGGCAGCUCACCGGGCCGGAACUGACACUGAUGCUCGAAAGUGCGGGUAUCAAACAGGAUUAGAUACCCUGGUAGUCCGCACAGUAAACGAUGAAUACUCGCUGUUUGCGAUACACGGUAAGCGGCCAAGCGAAAGCGUUAAGUAUUCCACCUGGGGAGUACGCCGGCAACGGUGAAACUCAAAGGAAUUGGCGGGG
Molecule: ribosomal RNA, 393 nt
Filed under: uncultured bacterium
Lineage: Bacteria
Description: partial 16S ribosomal RNA
Rfam family: Bacterial small subunit ribosomal RNA
Source: RNAcentral